UUACGGCCACAUCACGUUGAAAACACCGGUUCCGUACGAUCAACGAAGUUAAGCAACGUUGAACCUGUCUAGGGCCUAGAUGGGUAACCGCUUGAGAAUAUCAGGUGCUGUU
Non-coding RNA from Acanthosepion pharaonis, 112 nucleotides. The record is from the annotation of a GenBank genome assembly. Lineage: Eukaryota; Metazoa; Mollusca; Cephalopoda; Sepiida; Sepiidae.